This 253-nucleotide ribosomal RNA is filed under the name uncultured bacterium. RNAcentral's name for it is "partial 16S ribosomal RNA". It matches the Rfam family "Bacterial small subunit ribosomal RNA", at positions 524 to 776 of the family's 1533-position model. The record is from RNAcentral.
GACAGAGGGGGCAAGCGUUGUCCGGAAUCAUUGGGCGUAAAGAGCGUGUAGGCGGCUCGGUAAGUCCGCUCUGAAAGCCCGGGGCUCAACCCCGGGAGGCGGGCGGAUACUGUCGGGCUAGAGUCCGGAAGAGGCGAGUGGAAUUCCUGGUGUAGCGGUGAAAUGCGCAGAUAUCAGGAGGAACACCAAUGGCGAAGGCAGCUCGCUGGGACGGUACUGACGCUGAGACGCGAAAGCGUGGGGAGCAAACAGG